Small nuclear RNA from Lycium barbarum (goji berry), 161 nucleotides. RefSeq annotates it as U1 spliceosomal RNA. The transcript has a single exon. The record is from RefSeq and is a predicted model, not a curated record. NCBI's taxonomy places the organism in Eukaryota, Viridiplantae, Streptophyta, Magnoliopsida, Solanales, Solanaceae.
AUACUUACCUGGACGGGGUCAAUGGGCGAUCAAUAAGACCUAUGGCCUAGGUUGGUGACCUCCAUUGCACUUUGGAGGGGUGCCCGCCUAAGGUCGGCCCAAGUGGUCGAGCCUAUGUCAUAAUUUGUGGUAGCAGGGGCUUGCGUUCGCGCGGCCCCUAC